AUUCGAGUCCCAGAGUGAACAUCAGCUCUGAGAUGCAGGUACAUCCUUAAUUCACAAAUAGGACGAAACGCGCGUCCUGGAU
RNAcentral lists this non-coding RNA (82 nucleotides) under Schistosoma mansoni. The record is from RNAcentral. Lineage: Eukaryota; Metazoa; Platyhelminthes; Trematoda; Strigeidida; Schistosomatidae.